UUGGAGGGCAAGUCUGGUGCCAGCAGCCGCGGUAAUUCCAGCUCCAAUAGCGUAUAUUAAAGUUGUUGCAGUUAAAAAGCUCGUAGUUGAAUUUCGGGAUCAAUAUAUCGGUCGUGCCAUCGGUACGUACUGGUAUGAUUGGUUUCUCCUUUCUGACGAACCAUGAUGUCAUUAAUUUGGUGUUAUGGGAAGUUAGGACUGUUACUUUGAAAAAAUUAGAGUGUUAAAGCAGGCUUUAGCUUGAAUACAUUAGCAUGGAAUAAUGAAAUAGGACAUCCGAUUCUAUUUUGUUGGUUUCUAGGAUCGAUGUAAUGAUUAAUAGGGAUAGUUGGGGGCAUUAGUAUUCAAUUGUCAGAGGUGAAAUUCUUGGAUUUAUUGAAGACUAACUACUGCGAAAGCAUUUGCCAAGGAUGUUUUCAUUAAUCAAGAACGAAAGUUAGGGGAUCGAAGACGAUCAGAUACCGUCGUAGUCUUAACCAUAAACUAUGCCGACUAGGGAUCGGAUGAUGUUAAUUUUUUAAUGACUCAUUCGGCGCCUUACGGGAAAC
This 548-nucleotide ribosomal RNA is filed under the name uncultured Glomus. RNAcentral describes it as "SSU rRNA". It matches the Rfam family "Eukaryotic small subunit ribosomal RNA", at positions 548 to 1098 of the family's 1831-position model. Lineage: Eukaryota; Fungi; Glomeromycota; Glomeromycetes; Glomerales; Glomeraceae. The record is from RNAcentral.